GAACGCACCGCAAGGUGAGUGGCAGACGGGUGAGUAACGCGUGGGAACCUUCCCUUUGGUACGGAAUAACUUCGGGAAACCGAAGCUAAUACCGUAUAAGUCCUUCGGGAGAAAGAUUUAUCGCCAAAGGAUGGGCCCGCGUUGGAUUAGCUAGUUGGUAGGGUAAAGGCCUACCAAGGCGACGAUCCAUAGCUGGUCUGAGAGGAUGAUCAGCCACACUGGGACUGAGACACGGCCCAGACUCCUACGGGAGGCAGCAGUGGGGAAUAUUGGACAAUGGGGGCAACCCUGAUCCAGCCAUGCCGCGUGAGUGAAGAAGGCCUUAGGGUUGUAAAGCUACUUUUGGCGGGGACGAUAAUGACGGUACCCGCAGAAUAAGCCCCGGCUAACUUAGUG
Molecule: ribosomal RNA, 396 nt
Filed under: uncultured bacterium
Lineage: Bacteria
Description: bacterial SSU rRNA
Rfam family: Bacterial small subunit ribosomal RNA
Source: RNAcentral